This 468-nucleotide ribosomal RNA is filed under the name uncultured bacterium. Its description in RNAcentral is "partial 16S ribosomal RNA". It matches the Rfam family "Bacterial small subunit ribosomal RNA", at positions 28 to 507 of the family's 1533-position model. The record is from RNAcentral.
GACGAACGCUGGCGGCGUGCUUAACACAUGCAAGUCGAACGGAAAGGCCCUGCUUUUGGGGUGUGCUCGAGUGGAGAACGGGUGAGUAACACGGGAGUAACCUGCCCUUGACUUUGGGAUAGCUUCGGGAAACUGGGGCUAAUACCGGAUGGGAACUCCGGCUGCAUUGUGGGGGUUGGAAAGUUUUGGCGGUUGGGGAUGGACUCGCGGCUUAUCGGCUUGUUGGUGGGGUUGUGGAUUAACAAGGCUUUGAGGGGUAGCCGGUCUGAGGGGGUGAACGGCCACAUGGCGGCGGUGAUACGCCGCAGACUACUAGGGGCGGCAGCGGUGGGGAAUGCUGCACAAUGGGCGGAAGCCUGAUGCAGCACCGCCGCGUGCGGGAUGACGGCCGUGGGGUUGUCACCCGCUUUCGCCUGUGACGAAGCGGUAGUGACGGUAAUGGGUAAAGAAGCACCGGCUAACUACGUG